AUACGGAGGGGGCUAGCGUUGUUCGGAUUUACUGGGCGUAAAGGGCGCGUAGGCGGCCCACAAAGUCAGACGUGAAAGCCCCGGGCUCAACCUGGGAACUGCGCUUGAAACGUGUGGGCUAGAGUCCGGGAGAGGAUGGCGGAAUUCCCAGUGUAGAGGUGAAAUUCGUAGAUAUUGGGAAGAACACCGGUGGCGAAGGCGGCCAUCUGGACCGGUACUGACGCUAAGGCGCGAAAGCGUGGGGAGCAAACAGGAGUAGAAACCCCGGUAGUCC
Molecule: ribosomal RNA, 274 nt
Filed under: uncultured bacterium
Lineage: Bacteria
Description: partial 16S ribosomal RNA
Rfam family: Bacterial small subunit ribosomal RNA
Source: RNAcentral